AGGACGAACGCUGGCGGCGUGCCUAACACAUGCAAGUCGAACGAGAUCCAUGGGAGCUUGCUCCCGGAAGAUCUAGUGGCGAACGGGUGAGUAACACGUGAGAAACCUGCCCUGGAGUGGGGAAUAACUCGGGGAAACUCGAGCUAAUACCGCAUACCCUCGGAUGGUCGCAUGGCCGACCGAGGAAAGAUUUAUCGCUCUAGGAGGGUCUCGCGGCCUAUCAGCUAGUUGUGGGUAACGGCCUACCAAGGCAACGACGGGUAGCUGGUUUGAGAGAACGAUCAGCCACACUGGACUGAGACACGGCCCAGACUCCUACGGGAGGCAGCAGUGGGGAAUCUUGCGCAAUGGGCGAAAGCCUGACGCAGCAACGCCGCGUGCGGGAUGACGGCCUUCGUGGUUGUAAACCGCUUUCAGCAGGGACGAAAAUGACGGUACCUGCAGAAGAAGCCCCGGCUAACUACGUG
Molecule: ribosomal RNA, 467 nt
Filed under: uncultured bacterium
Lineage: Bacteria
Description: bacterial SSU rRNA
Rfam family: Bacterial small subunit ribosomal RNA
Source: RNAcentral